UGUUUCGGCAAGGGGGUCAUCCCGACUUACCAACCCGAUGCAAACUGCGAAUACCGGAGAAUGUUAUCACGGGAGACACACGGCGGGUGCUAACGUCCGUCGUGAAGAGGGAAACAACCCAGACCGCCAGCUAAGGUCCCAAAGUCAUGGUUAAGUGGGAAACGAUGUGGGAAGGCCCAGACAGCCAGGAUGUUGGCUUAGAAGCAGCCAUCAUUUAAAGAAAGCGUAAUAGCUCACUGGUCGAGUCGGCCUGCGCGGAAGAUGUAACGGGGCUAAACCAUGCACCGAAGCUGCGGCAGCGACGCUUAUGCGUUGUUGGGUAGGGGAGCGUUCUGUAAGCCUGUGAAGGUGUGCUGUGAGGCAUGCUGGAGGUAUCAGAAGUGCGAAUGCUGACAUAAGUAACGAUAAAGCGGGUGAAAAGCCCGCUCGCCGGAAGACCAAGGGUUCCUGUCCAACGUUAAUCGGGGCAGGGUGAGUCGACCCCUAAGGCGAGGCCGAAAGGCGUAGUCGAUGGGAAACAGGUUAAUAUUCCUGUACUUGGUGUUACUGCGAAGGGGGGACGGAGAAGGCUAUGUUGGCCGGGCGACGGUUGUCCCGGUUUAAGCGUGUAGGCUGGUUUUCCAGGCAAAUCCGGAAAAUCAAGGCUGAGGCGUGAUGACGAGGCACUACGGUGCUGAAGCAACAAAUGCCCUGCUUCCAGGAAAAG
This 706-nucleotide ribosomal RNA is filed under the name Escherichia coli. RNAcentral describes it as "partial 23S ribosomal RNA". It matches the Rfam family "Bacterial large subunit ribosomal RNA", at positions 911 to 1617 of the family's 2925-position model. Lineage: Bacteria; Pseudomonadati; Pseudomonadota; Gammaproteobacteria; Enterobacterales; Enterobacteriaceae. The record is from RNAcentral.